RNAcentral lists this ribosomal RNA (1488 nucleotides) under metagenome. Its description in RNAcentral is "bacterial SSU rRNA". It matches the Rfam family "Bacterial small subunit ribosomal RNA". The record is from RNAcentral.
AGAGUUUGAUCCUGGCUCAGGACUAACGCUGGCGGCGUGCCUAACACAUGCAAGUCGUGCGGGGUAUGAGGGCUUGCUCUCAUACCUAGCGGCAGACGGGUGAGUAACGCGUAAAUAACCUGCCCUAUCGCUGGGGAUAAGCCAUCGAAAGGUGGUCUAAUACCGAAUAAGUGUAACGGAAGAGAGUCCGUAAUAUAAAAGCUGAAAAGCGUGACAGGAGGGGUUUGCGUCCCAUUAGCUAGUUGGCGGGGUAAGAGCCCACCAAGGCGACGAUGGGUAGCUGGUCUGAGAGGAUGGUCAGCCACACUGGAACUGAGAUACGGUCCAGACUCCUACGGGAGGCAGCAGUGAGGAAUAUUGCGCAAUGGCCGAAAGGCUGACGCAGCGACGCCGCGUGGGGGAAGACGGCCCUUGGGUUGUAAACCCCUGUCAGUGGGGAAGAAGAUCUGACGGUACCCACAGAGGAAGCCCCGGCUAACUACGUGCCAGCAGCCGCGGUAAGACGUAGGGGGCGAGCGUUGUUCGGAAUUACUGGGCGUAAAGAGCUCGUAGGCUGGAGGAUAAGUCUUACAAUAAAACCCGCAGCUCAACUGCGGACAAUUGUAAGAUACUGUUUUACUUGAGAACAGGAGAGGGGAGCGGAAUUCCUAGUGUAGCGGUGAAAUGCGUAGAUAUUAGGAGGAACACCAGUGGCGAAGGCGGCUCUCUGGCCUGUUUCUGACGCUGAGGAGCGAAAGCUGGGGGAGCGAACGGGAUUAGAUACCCCGGUAGUCCCAGCUGUAAACGAUGGAUACUAGGUGUAGGAGGUAUCGACCCCUUCUGUGCCGCAGUUAGCACAUUAAGUAUCCCGCCUGGGGAGUACGGCCGCAAGGUUAAAACUCAAAGGAAUUGACGGGGGCCCGCACAAGCGGUGGAGCAUGUGGUUUAAUUCGACGCAACGCGAAGAACCUUACCUGGACUUGACAUCCCUUGCCCGCGUAUGAAAGUACGUUUUCUAUGCCUUCGGGUAUAGACAAGGAGACAGGUGCUGCAUGGCUGUCGUCAGCUCGUGUCGUGAGAUGUUGGGUUAAGUCCCGCAACGAGCGCAACCCUUAUUCUUAGUUGCCAACAGUUAGGCUGGGGACUCUAAGGAGACUGCCGGUAAAAAGCCGGAGGAAGGUGGGGAUGACGUCAAGUCAGCAUGGCCCUUACGUCCAGGGCUACACACGUGCUACAAUGGGGUGUACAGAGGGUCGCAAUACAGCGAUGUGGAGCCAAUCCCUAAAACACCCCUCAGUUCGGAUCGGAGGCUGCAACCUGCCUCCGUGAAGCCGGAAUCGCUAGUAACCGCAGAUCAGCAAUGCUGCGGUGAAUACGUUCCCGGGCCUUGUACACACCGCCCGUCACGUCACCCGAGUCUAUUGCACCCGAAGUCACUGAUCUAACCUGUCAAAAGGAGGAAGGUGCCGAAGGUGUGGUCGGUAAGGGGGACGAAGUCGUAACAAGGUA